AUGGAGUUACUACAGAGGCUAGGUUUCUCAUCUAGGUGGAGAGAUUGGAUUGCCCUACUCCUCUCAUCCUCCUCCUCGUCAUGCCUUAUCAAUGGUGACCCUGGCGACUGCGUUAUACAUCAGUGAGGAUUACGGCAAGGAGAUCCCCUCUCGCCGUUGUUGUUCAUUCUUUGCGUCGACCCACUGCACCGUCUUCUCGAGGCAGCCACCAGGACGGACGUACUGAACACCAUCCUAGGCACGGCUGCGCGGAUGCGCACAAGCUUGUACGCCGACGACGCCGUCAUCUUCAUAAACCCAGUACGUCAGGAAAUAGAUAGCCUCUUAGAACUGUUACAGCAGUUUGGCGACGCCACGGGCCUCCGCGUCAACCUCUCCAAAUCCUCGGCAGUACCCAUCAGAUGCGACGACAUAGACAUAGGAGUUGUUCUGUAA
RNAcentral lists this ribosomal RNA (435 nucleotides) under Triticum aestivum (bread wheat). RNAcentral describes it as "partial small subunit ribosomal RNA". The record is from RNAcentral. Lineage: Eukaryota; Viridiplantae; Streptophyta; Magnoliopsida; Poales; Poaceae.